UAAAGAAAGAUUUUUGGAGGUGGGAAA
Molecule: small RNA, 27 nt
Filed under: Bombyx mori (domestic silkworm)
Lineage: Eukaryota; Metazoa; Arthropoda; Insecta; Lepidoptera; Bombycidae
Description: piRNA piR-bmo-1849233
Source: RNAcentral